This is a long non-coding RNA of Octopus sinensis (East Asian common octopus), 167 nucleotides long. RefSeq lists it as uncharacterized. Lineage: Eukaryota; Metazoa; Mollusca; Cephalopoda; Octopoda; Octopodidae. The transcript has 2 exons. The record is from RefSeq and is a predicted model, not a curated record.
CCUGAAAAUAGCACGUAUUGUCUAUAUUAGUAAACAACACUUGUUAUUUCUCCGGUAAUUUUUUUUCAUGUAAAUAAAUGUUUAUGUUAAUUUAAAGGAGAAAACCAGUUAGUUUUAAAUCUUUGAGCGAGAUGUUGACAGAUAAACUUUAAUUUAAAAAGUUUAUC